RNAcentral lists this ribosomal RNA (614 nucleotides) under uncultured bacterium. Its description in RNAcentral is "bacterial SSU rRNA". It matches the Rfam family "Bacterial small subunit ribosomal RNA", at positions 338 to 945 of the family's 1533-position model. The record is from RNAcentral.
CCUACGGGAGGCAGCAGUGGGGAAUUUUGGACAAUGGGCGAAAGCCUGAUCCAGCAAUGCCGCGUGAGUGAAGAAGGCCUUCGGGUUGUAAAGCUCUUUUGUCAGGGAAGAAACGGUGUUUUCUAAUACAGAAUGCUAAUGACGGUACCUGAAGAAUAAGCACCGGCUAACUACGUGCCAGCAGCCGCGGUAAUACGUAGGGUGCAAGCGUUAAUCGGAAUUACUGGGCGUAAAGCGUGCGCAGGCGGUUUUGUAAGUCUGACGUGAAAUCCCCGUGCUCAACCUGGGAAUUGCGUUGGAGACUGCAAGGCUAGAGUUUGGCAGAGGGGGGUAGAAUUCCACGUGUAGCAGUGAAAUGCGUAGAUAUGUGGAGGAACACCGAUGGCGAAGGCAGCCCCCUGGGUCAAGACUGACGCUCAUGCACGAAAGCGUGGGGAGCAAACAGGAUUAGAUACCCUGGUAGUCCACGCCCUAAACGAUGUCUACUAGUUGUCGGGCCUUAAUUGACUUGGUAACGCAGCUAACGCGUGAAGUAGACCGCCUGGGGAGUCGGUCGCAAGNUUAAAACUUAAAUGAAUUGAGGCUUGGNGAGNGCGAGNGACGACGAGGAGAGG